This is a long non-coding RNA of Vulpes vulpes (red fox), 629 nucleotides long. The record is from Ensembl. NCBI's taxonomy places the organism in Eukaryota, Metazoa, Chordata, Mammalia, Carnivora, Canidae.
UUUAAGCCAUGCCCCCCCCCUCCAAACUUCGUUUGUUCUUUUAUGACUAAGGAUAUUUAUCUCCUGCCUGCUUUAGAAGUUUAUGGGCUGCUUUUCCUUUGAAUUCCAGGCCAAGGUCAGUAGCCUUUGGGUUGUGAUGUCACAGUGUGUUACCUUGGUUACCACUAUGACAUCAUUGGGCAAACCUGGGGGUUUGGUGGGGUAGUGGGGAGGUCUAUGAAACAAUCUCUUUCAUCUGCAGCCCAUGAGGAAACUGCCACUGCUUUUGGAAAAAAAGGUUUGGAGAAGUUGUACGAAGCUAAAGAGAAGAAUUAAUAAGAUUUACUGCCCACCCCCCCAAACGCCACAGACCCCUAAAAGUCAGGCCACAAUCAAAGGCUGCAGACUUCUGAAGGGAAGAAGCCAAAGGAACAAAUGCAUUCCGAGAAACCAGAACACCAUGUUUGCAAAAAGACCAUCAGGUCAGGGGAAGGGGAAAAAAAGAAUGUGUUUUUAUUGUGAACAUGUGUCAAGAGGACUCCGCCACAUAAACUCGGCUAUCUGCAGACCUCUCAGCUCUCUGUCACCCAAAUACGAUCUUAGGGUGUUUGCAAAACAAGACACAUCGUAAAUCUCAAGAAGGGCUAGAA